ACCUGAUACUCCGCAUCAGAGAGCUUCAAUGCUGAUAUUCUGUCAUCUGCCUCGCGGAUAGCCCUGAACACAGUUGAUCGGAAACAAUAGCUAUUUUUUCGUUGAAAGAUGGGUCCCUACGUUUGAUACGGGCUCCAGAUGCUACCUUUCUAACAGCUUUAACUACUUUAGUAUUUGGUGCCCCAGAGUUAAGGCGUAACUUCCAAGGGGGGAUCGUGGGAGUUCUCGGUGUAUCCCGCUGGUGACCAAUCCGUUGCCCCAGCGUUUCACAGACCGUCACAGCACCCGCAUAAACAACCUCCACCAGCUCCUCAAGCGUCGUC
This is a long non-coding RNA of Coccinella septempunctata (seven-spotted ladybird), 323 nucleotides long. RefSeq lists it as uncharacterized. Lineage: Eukaryota; Metazoa; Arthropoda; Insecta; Coleoptera; Coccinellidae. The record is from RefSeq and is a predicted model, not a curated record. The transcript is spliced from 3 exons.